GAUGAACGCUAGCGGCAGGCCUAAUACAUGCAAGUCGAACGGCAGCAGGCUGUAGCAAUACAGUGCUGGCGAGUGGCGCACGGGUGCAUAACACGUAUGUAAUUUGCCCAUAACUGGGGGAUAGCCUUCCGAAAGGAAGAUUAAUACCCCAUAACCCAGCGAGGUGGCAUCACUUUUCUGGUAAAACUCCGGUGGUUAUGGAUAAGCAUGCGUCNGAUUAGCUAGUUGGCGAGGUAACGGCUCACCAAGGCAACGAUCAGGUAGGGGGUCUGAGAGGAUGACUCCCCCACACGGGUACUGAGACACGGACCCGACUCCUACGGGAGCAGCAGUAAGGAAUAUUGGACAAUGGAGGCAACUCUGAUCCA
RNAcentral lists this ribosomal RNA (368 nucleotides) under uncultured bacterium. RNAcentral describes it as "bacterial SSU rRNA". It matches the Rfam family "Bacterial small subunit ribosomal RNA", at positions 28 to 390 of the family's 1533-position model. The record is from RNAcentral.